UGGGGAAUUUUGGACAAUGGGCGAAAGCCUGAUCCAGCAAUGCCGCGUGUGUGAAGAAGGCCUUCGGGUUGUAAAGCACUUUUGUCCGGAAAGAAAUCCUCUGGGUUAAUACCUCGGGGGGAUGACGGUACCGGAAGAAUAAGCACCGGCUAACUACGUGCCAGCAGCCGCGGUAAUACGUAGGGUGCAAGCGUUAAUCGGAAUUACUGGGCGUAAAGCGUGCGCAGGCGGUUUUGUAAGACGGAUGUGAAAUCCCCGGGCUUAACCUGGGAACUGCAUUCGUGACUGCAAGGCUAGAGUAUGGCAGAGGGGGGUAGAAUUCCACGUGUGAGCAGUGAAAUGCGUAGAGAUGUGGAGGAAUACCGAUGGCGAAGGCAGCCCCCUGGGCCAAUACUGACGCUCAUGCACGAAAGCGUGGGGA
RNAcentral lists this ribosomal RNA (421 nucleotides) under uncultured bacterium. RNAcentral describes it as "partial 16S ribosomal RNA". It matches the Rfam family "Bacterial small subunit ribosomal RNA", at positions 355 to 767 of the family's 1533-position model. The record is from RNAcentral.